GGGUAACCUGCCUUACACCGGGGGACAACAGUUGGAAACGACUGCUAAUACCGCAUAAGACCACGGAGCCGCAUGGCCCUGGGGUAAAAGAUUUAUCGAUGUAAGAUGGACCCGCGUCUGAUUAGCCAGUUGGCGGGGUAACGGCCCACCAAAGCUACGAUCAGUAGCCGACCUGAGAGGGUGAUCGGCCACAUUGGGACUGAGACACGGCCCAAACUCCUACGGGAGGCAGCAGUGGGGAAUAUUGGGCAAUGGGCGCAAGCCUGACCCAGCGACGCCGCGUGAGUGAAGAAGUAUUUCGGUAUGUAAAGCUCUAUCAGCAGGGAAGACAAUGACGGUACCUGACUAAGAAGCACCGGCUAAAUACGUGCCAGCAGCCGCGGUAAUACGUAUGGUGCAAGCGUUAUCCGGAUUUACUGGGUGUAAAGGGAGCGUAGGUGGUAUGGCAAGCCAGAAGUGAAAACCCGGGGCUCAACCCCGCGGAUUGCUUUUGGAACUGUUGAACUAGAGUGCUGGAGGGGUAAGCGGAAUUCCCAGUGUAGCGGUGAAAUGCGUAGAUAUUGGGAGGAACACCGGAGGCGAAGGCGGCUUACUGGACAGUAACUGACACUGAGGCUCGAAAGCGUGGGGAGCAAACAGGAUUAGAUA
This 648-nucleotide ribosomal RNA is filed under the name uncultured rumen bacterium. RNAcentral's name for it is "bacterial SSU rRNA". It matches the Rfam family "Bacterial small subunit ribosomal RNA", at positions 119 to 784 of the family's 1533-position model. The record is from RNAcentral.